UGCCGGUGUUAAACCGGAGGAAGGUGGGGAUGACGUCAAGUCCUCAUGGCCCUUAUGGCUGGGGCUACACACGUGCUACAAUGGUAUCUACAGAACGCAGCGAAGCCGCGAGGUGGAGCGAAUCGUCAAAAAGAUAUCUCAGUUCGGAUUGGAGUCUGCAACUCGACUCCAUGAAGCUGGAAUCGCUAGUAAUCGAAGAUCAGAAUGCUUCGGUGAAUACGUUCCCGGGCCUUGUACACACCGCCCGUCACACCAUGGGAGCUAAGUGCUCCAGAAGUCCGUGAGCUAACCUUCGGGAGGCAGCGGCCCAAGGAGUGAUUAGUGACUGGGGUG
RNAcentral lists this ribosomal RNA (333 nucleotides) under uncultured bacterium. RNAcentral's name for it is "bacterial SSU rRNA". It matches the Rfam family "Bacterial small subunit ribosomal RNA", at positions 1150 to 1482 of the family's 1533-position model. The record is from RNAcentral.